CUUUGUCUAUUUGCUUGGACAAGGAGUGGCUGUGACCGAAGGGUCAGCAAAAAUAUUAUGCAACUCUGGUGGACCAGGCCGGACCAUCCCAGAAGGGAGUGCCUGUAGAUCGUUUUGACAUUUUACAAUCGAUCUGAGGCUUGAGUUGCUUCAAGAGAUGGAUUCUGCUCUACAAACUUUAUAGGAAGACUCAAGAGGAGCUGGACUAUUCCUGGGAAACUGAGCUCUGGGGCUGGCAGGGUGUUCCGUCUCCUCAGCACAAGAACACUCCGUGAAAUCACCGGGUGCCGCAUACUGGGAGAGAAGAGGGUCAAGCAACAGAUGCAGAGUCAGUAAGCCUUUGAUCGACUAUAGAGGACCACUUCCCAGUAUCAAAACUACAGGGCAAAGUCAGCUCACGGAACAUGAUGAGCCACACUGCAAGUUACUCAAAUGUCCCGUGGGACUCCUAGACCGGUCCCCUUACCCUGCUCUUGAUACCCUGGCCUGAAUACUUUGCCCAAGAUUUUUCUGGAUGUGGCCAGAGAAUCCAUAAGGCUGUGUUCAUGGCAUUAAACAAUCUUCCAAAAAGACUACAUGAAAAUUAACAAAUGCAACGCUGAGGAGCAAAGCUA
Long non-coding RNA from Heteronotia binoei (common prickly gecko), 614 nucleotides. RefSeq lists it as uncharacterized. The transcript is spliced from 4 exons. The record is from RefSeq and is a predicted model, not a curated record. NCBI's taxonomy places the organism in Eukaryota, Metazoa, Chordata, Lepidosauria, Squamata, Gekkonidae.